GAGGAAUAUUGGUCAAUGGGCGCAAGCCUGAACCAGCCAUGCCGCGUGAAGGAUGACAGCGCUACGCGUUGUAAACUUCUUUUGUACAGGAAGAAACACUUCUACG
Molecule: ribosomal RNA, 106 nt
Filed under: uncultured bacterium
Lineage: Bacteria
Description: partial 16S ribosomal RNA
Rfam family: Bacterial small subunit ribosomal RNA
Source: RNAcentral